This 798-nucleotide long non-coding RNA is filed under the name Mytilus galloprovincialis (Mediterranean mussel). The record is from RNAcentral. Lineage: Eukaryota; Metazoa; Mollusca; Bivalvia; Mytilida; Mytilidae.
UAAAGAUACAAUACAGUACCAGACAUGUGUUAAAAAAAGUACUAACUAUUAUCCUAAUAAUUUCAGAUAAUAUCAAUCAAAUGUCAUUCAAACUACUGUAUAGUGAUGCCAGGGUAUCAAACUUAUAUACUGUCACUUUAAAUUCGUUAUAACCACAUUCAUUUUAUCACAGAAUGCAAACAGGGUAAUUAAAAAACAGCGCCGAUUGCAGUCCAAAUUCAAAAACAUUAUAAAACACUUUUAUAAAUCACACUUAUUUUUGACAUCCCUUUUAUAUGACAAAAUAUAUUUACUUUAUGAUAAAACUUUAGAAUUAUGUGGUCAAUGCAUAGCCUCAGCAGUUUCAACGUUUUUUUCUGUAAGACGCCACCAAAAUCCAUUAAUCUCUCAAAGUCUUGCAGAGGUCAAAGAUUUUGUCAAUUUUAUACUGAAGAGCCUAUCAGAUUCAUUUCCUGUUAACAUGGUUAAAAUAUACUGUUUCAAGACCACUGCUUGUAGAAGUGGUCAUUAACUUUUACUGUUGUCACAUAAACAUGCAAUUUUUUCACCCAAUUUCAAGUUUUUGAAGUUUUUUUACCAUAAAAGAGGGACGAAAGAUACCAAAGGGACAGUCAAACUCAUAAAUCCAAAACAAACUGACAACGCCAUGGCUAAAAAUGAAAAAGACAAACAGAAAAACAAUAGUACACACGACACAACAUAGAAAACUAAAGAAUAAACAACACGAACCCCACCAAAACUAGGGGUGAUCUCAGGUGCUCCAGAAGGGUAAGCAGAUCCUGCUCCACAUGUGGCACC